RNAcentral lists this ribosomal RNA (565 nucleotides) under uncultured Glomeromycotina. RNAcentral's name for it is "SSU rRNA". It matches the Rfam family "Eukaryotic small subunit ribosomal RNA", at positions 548 to 1114 of the family's 1831-position model. The record is from RNAcentral. Lineage: Eukaryota; Fungi; Glomeromycota.
UUGGAGGGCAAGUCUGGUGCCUGCAGCCGCGGUAAUUCCAGCUCCAAUAGCGUAUAUUAAAGUUGUUGCAGUUAAAAAGCUCGUAGUUGAAUUUCGGGAUCAAUUUGCUGGUCGUGCCUCUGGUACGUACUGGUAUUAUUGGUUUCUCCCUUCUGACGAACCAUGAUGUCAUUAAUUUGAUGUCGUGGAGAAUCAGGACUGUUACUUUGAAAAAAUUAGAGUGUUUAAAGCAGGCAUUAGCUUGAAUACAUUAGCAUGGAAUAAUGAAAUAGGACGUUCGAUCCUAUUUUGUUGGUUUCUAGGAUUGACGUAAUGAUUAAUAGGGAUAGUUGGGGGCAUUAGUAUUCAAUUGUCAGAGGUGAAAUUCUUGGAUUUAUUGAAGACUAACUACUGCGAAAGCAUUUGCCAAGGAUGUUUUCAUUAAUCAAGAACGAAAGUUAGGGGAUCGAAGGCGAUCAGAUACCGUCGUAGUCUUAACCAUAAACUAUGCCGACUAGGGAUCGGAUGAUGUUAAUUUUUUAAUGACUCAUUCGGCGCCUUACGGGAAACCAAAGUGUUUGGGUUC